This 2691-nucleotide long non-coding RNA is filed under the name Gallus gallus (chicken). Lineage: Eukaryota; Metazoa; Chordata; Aves; Galliformes; Phasianidae. The record is from RNAcentral.
CUGCUGCAGACCCAGUGCUUGUGUAGGUGGCACAGGGAUGAGCUGAUCCUGUCCCCGUUCAGGUACGCACAUCGGCCUCCACCUCGCAGCUCAAACCUGUGCCCAAGAGGGAGGAGAAUGGGAAAGCUGCCCCGAUGCACUGAGAAAAGCUGGGGCUGCCUUUUCUGGGGAAGGAAGGGCAGAAAGGGCUCAUGGUGGAGCACCAAGCCUGAGCCUGGCGGGCCACGGUAAACCUCGGCUGUGGCACCAGGAGAAGGUCCCCAUCCCAAAGAGAGCCUGUGGGAAGUCAUGGCCUGGACAGCUGGACAGACAGACUGACCAGUUGGUGAAGGCUGUGCCAUCGCUCCAUGUCCACUGGGCGUCCUCUUCUUCCCUGUGCAGCCCGAUCCAACAGUUUGCCGGGCCCUGGAAGCGCAUCAUGAAAUCCUUUAAAGGAAGAGAGUGUUGAAUGUCAGGAGGUUUUAGCAUCUGUCCCACCCACAUCUCAGGCUCCAGCAGGCUGCAAGGCGCUGCGUUCUGCUGCAUGGAAGAAGCUUGUUUGUGCUUCCAUGGCACAAGAGCUGCCCCCGGAGGUGCACAUCUUGGGAUGUCCCCCAGAUGGAUGAGGGAGGGGUGGGGGGCAGUAAUGUGCUGCUGUCCCUCCCCAGCCUGGUGUCUUCCCCAGAGCUUUGGGCUCGUGUCUUCGUCUCACCAUCUCAUCUUCACUGUCUAUAGAGGCCAGGGAAGCUCCGUGGGCAUUGCAGUGCUCCCUGCUGCUGUUCCAAUCAUUCUCCUCCUUCGAAAAAUAAUAGCAUUUCCCCUGGAAUCCGACCCAGGCGUUGGGGCACGCGUGGGCAAAGUCUGGGAAAGGUGGCACAGGGACCUGCCGACAUGCUGAAAUGAGGAAUUGGACAAAUGUGAGGCAAAGGGCAGGAAAUCUGCAUUUCUCUCACCUCCCUCCAACAGAGGUUGGGUAUGGGCUGCACUGUGUUGUGCUGCAGCCCCGGGUGCAGUUGCAGAUGUUGGGAAGGUUGAGCAGAGCGUGGUGUAGGGCACCGAAUGGCUGCCCCAUAGCACGUGGGAGCAGGGCUGUGCUUGGGGAGCACAUCCAUGUGCUGGAAACCCCAAAUCCCUGCUCUGUACCCAAACCUGAAACAUUCUCUCACCAUGGGGACACUUCUUGGCACUCACCGGUCGAUAUCACCACCAGCACAAGGCUAAGGGUUCCCAGUGCUGCACAUGCAGCAAUGAGCUGCACACGGGAUCUCCUCCUUCCUGUCCCAUGGCACCAGGAGCCUGGGGGGCAGAGAGUGGGUGGGGACACGCCCUUCUACUCCUGUUCCCCCCCAUGCCCUCCUUCCUGCUCAGUCCCCACCAUUACCCCAUUGGGAUCGUUCUCCACUCUGCCCAAGGGGCUGCAGUGCUGCUUUGUGCUCUGAAAAUGUUUCCUGUUGGUCUCCUUCUCCCAUAGCGGGUGUGGAAGUAUUGGACUCCAGCACCGAUAUGUGCACAUCCUCUUCUGGGAGCUGGGGGUCAGAACUGGAGGGCAGAUGUUGGUAGAAGUGGUUUUCCUCUUUAUGUUUCCCUUUUUUCCACCCAUUCCACUCUUUUGCUCCCCAUCCCCAGCCUUACCUUGUUGGGAUCCUUCUCCUCUGGUGUGCUGGGGGUUCUGGUGCUGCUUUGUGCUCUGACGAAUGGUUCAGUCGUUCUCCCUCUGCAGGCGUGGAAACCUUGUGCUUCAGUAUUGGUAUUUGCACAGACUGCUGUGGGGUGGACAGUUAGGAUGGGGGGGAUAGAAGGAAGGACUGAAGGAGGGGCUCGGGAGGAUUAGAAAGGAGGUAGAAAAAGGAGAGAGGAAGGGGAGUGGAAAGAAGGAAAGAGAGAGGAGCAAGAGGAGCAGGAAGGAGUUCAGUGCAGUGUGAAAUGUGAAGACGUGAAGCCAAAGAUGGUGUUGGUACCAUUCAGCUGAGCAGCGUGUGCAGGCAGAGGAUCUGUCUGGGGAAGCCAAACCACGCCUACAGAGCAUUCCUGUGGACAUGCUACAUCUUUCAAAGUUCAUUUUGUUUGGUUCACACAGUUGGUGGGAGGUCCUUCGCAGUACAGAGCCCAACCCACACAGCUGUGCUUGGCUCUGAGCCAUCAUGGGGGGAAAGGAGAACCCGCACCUGUUGGUUAUACCCAAGGAAUUGAUCCAGACACUAUCUCUGAUCAAAGCGGGCUUUAUUCACCACUGCAAUGCCGGCUGUCCCGCAUACAGCAGCGCACACAGAAAGCAGCGUUAUGUCUCUUAUGCCCAGCACCACGGUGAAGCCCUUUGCUCCCUGGGCCCUCCUCGCCCACCUUGGAGCUCGGGCUGAUGUUUGCAGCUUUGUGAGAAACACGCUCCAGGUCUACAAUUUCGAAUCAGGCCGAGAUCUCUGCGAAGAGCAGUGUGUCCAUGAUUGCAACAACGGGCGCACGCCCCCUACUGCCAAGGCAGAAAUUGCGCUCCUGAUCAGUGAAAUCCACUCCGUUAUCUCCCCUGGGUCCAACACAGGCAAAGCCUCUCCUGGCACUCAUUGGUUGAGCAUCUCAGGCUCACAAUGGUCCGAAGCUGUUGCUCCAUUAUGUUUCCAUACAACGUCUGUUAGCAACCCAUUGUCUUUGGGUAUGUUCUGUACCUUUUAGGGAGAUAGGAGGACAACAUUUCCAACAGUCUGCACACUCCUUCUG